RNAcentral lists this ribosomal RNA (324 nucleotides) under uncultured eukaryote. RNAcentral's name for it is "partial 18S ribosomal RNA". It matches the Rfam family "Eukaryotic small subunit ribosomal RNA", at positions 1470 to 1796 of the family's 1831-position model. The record is from RNAcentral.
CCCUUAGAUGUUCUGGGCUGCACGCGCGCUACACUGAUGCGAUCAACAAGUUUUUCCUAUGUCGAUAGACACGGGUAAUCUUUUGAACUCGCAUCAUGAUGGGGAUAGAUUAUUGUAAUUAUUAAUCUUCAACGAGGAAUUCCUAGUAGGUGCAAAUCAUCAGUUUGCAUCGAUUACGUCCCUGCCCUUUGUACACACCGCCCGUCGCUGCUACCGAUUGGUUGAUCUGGUGAAUUAUUCGGACUGCCGGCUGAAGGGGUUUCCUCAUCUGCCAGCGGAAAGUCUUGUUAACCCUAUCAACUAGAGGAAGCAGAAGUCGUAACA